This 497-nucleotide ribosomal RNA is filed under the name uncultured bacterium. RNAcentral's name for it is "partial 16S ribosomal RNA". It matches the Rfam family "Bacterial small subunit ribosomal RNA", at positions 28 to 507 of the family's 1533-position model. The record is from RNAcentral.
GAUGAACGCUGGCGGCGUGCCUAAUACAUGCAAGUCGAGCGAACAGACGAGGAGCUUGCUCCUCUGACGUUAGCGGCGGACGGGUGAGUAACACGUGGAUAACCUACCUAUAAGACUGGGAUAACUUCGGGAAACCGGAGCUAAUACCGGAUAAUAUAUUGAACCGCAUGGUUCAAUAGUGAAAGACGGUUUUGCUGUCACUUAUAGAUGGAUCCGCGCCGCAUUAGCUAGUUGGUAAGGUAACGGCUUACCAAGGCAACGAUGCGUAGCCGACCUGAGAGGGUGAUCGGUCACACUGGAACUGAGACACGGUCCAGACUCCUACGGGAGGCAGCAGUAGGGAAUCUUCCGCAAUGGGCGAAAGCCUGACGGAGCAACGCCGCGUGAGUGAUGAAGGUCUUCGGAUCGUAAAACUCUGUUAUUAGGGAAGAACAAAUGUGUAAGUAACUAUGCACGUCUUGACGGUACCUAACCAGAAAGCCACGGCUAACUACGUG